UGCCUACGGGAGGCAGCAGUGAGGAAUAUUGGUCAAUGGUCGGGAGACUGAACCAGCCAAGCCGCGUGAGGGAUGAAGGUACAGAGUAUCGUAAACCUCUUUUGUCAGGGAACAAAGGCGGGGACGCGUCCCCGGAUGAGUGUACCUGAAGAAAAAGCAUCGGCUAACUUCGUGCCAGCAGCCGCGGUAAUACGAAGGGUGCGAGCGUUGUUCGGAAUUACUGGGCGUAAAGGGAGUGUAGGCGGAUAUGUAAGAUAGCGGUGAAAUGCCGGGGCUCAACCCCGG
Molecule: ribosomal RNA, 285 nt
Filed under: uncultured bacterium
Lineage: Bacteria
Description: partial 16S ribosomal RNA
Rfam family: Bacterial small subunit ribosomal RNA
Source: RNAcentral